AGAAGGGAUUUAUCAAUCACUGAGAGAUUUCAGAGGAUGAAGAUUUUAACGAAAUUCAAAAACUAUCGCAAGAGGGCAAUACCUUGGUGGAAUUAACUUCACAUUUUGUUUUUAUUUGGCAAAAUCCCUCUGAGGUUCUUGUGUGUGGAGGGGUGUCUCACUCUCCCUACCACCUCUGACACUUGAAGCUAGACCAAGGCAGCUUGUCCAAGGACUGUGUUUUGUCAUUUUAAAAUUGGUCAGAGAAGGGUACUACUCACCAUAUUUAAAACCAACUUGACCCACUUUUGAGCUCUUGGUUUCCACUUAGCUUUUUCAAAAGCUUGGGGGAGGUUCUUACCCCAAAUGCCCUGGUGAAUGCUAGAAUUACAGAAUUUCUUCCCAAAGUACCUCUAAAGAACCAAUUAUACAAACUGUCGGUUAUAAGAGGAGUAAAUUUUGAGGGCCUGAUGUAUAACGUGGCGGCUAUAAUUGAUAAAAGAUCUCUUUUAACCAAGAGGCUGGAGUUUCUUUUCCUCACUCCUCUCCCCAAUUCUCUUUAAAAAAAUUUUUUUUUGUUAAAGUACAGUUAAUUUACAGUGGCAUGCCAAUUUCUGCUGUAUAUCAAAGUGAACCAGUCUCUCUCUAUAUGUGUGCAUAUAUGCAUAUGUAGAUACACACACACACACACACACACACACACACACACAUUCUUUUUCUCAUAUUCUCAUAUUAUGUUCUUUCACAAGAGAAUGGAUAUAGGUGCCUGUGCUGUACAGCAGGACCUCAUUGAUUGUCAAUUCUGAAUGUAAUAGUUGACAUCUAUGAAACCCAAACUCCCAGUCCAUCCCACUCCUUCUCCCUCCCCCUUGGCAACCACAAGUCUGUUCUCCAUGUCUCUGAGUCUGAAGAACAAAAGCAGACUCUCCCUACCUCUCAAUGUCACCCCAAAUCAAGAGUCUUUAGAUUCUCAAGUUUACUUAACAGAGGGGUCUCCCAAUGCUAUAACCAGCUAUGCUUCCAACACGGCCAACACUUCAUGUUCACCCAUUACUGAGCUUCUUUCUCCUCAUUUCCCUCAAAAGAUGAGAACUAAGUGGGGAGCAGUGUGCCUGCCUGUGAGUUCUUCCCAUGUCCAAGGUCAUAGAGGGAUGGGAACUUGAGGCUUCAGCCUUGUGGGGCAAAGUGUGAACGUCUGUCUCAUUGUCCUGUGCUUGUCGGAAGGAGGUCUCCAGCCCAGAAGAGCCAGAGGUUAGUGCUGGCCCAUUUUCCAGGCCCUGGGAUCAGGGGCAUGGCCUUUGGAUCGGGUGCUGGCUGUCUGCAUCACCACACAGGCUCCAGGAAGCGGGCCUGGCUCCUUCUAUAACGCUCCUCCUCAAGUCCUCCCCCGCCCCGUCCCCCCUCACCUGGGCUGCUCUGCCAGGUGGGAACCAUUCUCUCUACCCUCAGUGCAGAAGGAGCAACACUGGCCUCGUGGUGGGGGUGAACUCAGGACAGGCUUUUCUUCAUAAUUCUGAAUUUCCUAGGUUUUGUCAGUGUAAGCCAGACUCUUAAUGCUAUUUUAAUGCAGUUGUUUUGUGUGUGAAUAAUAUGCUCUUUUUGCCAAACCUCAAACCCUGGAACUAAGAUCUCAUAAAAAUGCCUAGAGUCCAAAGCUAAUAGCUGUUAUUCAGCUGUUAUGGGGUAAGGCCUACGAACGUUUCAGAUUGAUGUUAUUCUCACCAGGGCAGUGGGUGAUACGAACCUACUGAGGAGAGGCCGAGGCUCCAGAUGCUCAGGGUGCAGGCAGAGAUGAAUCCCAUCUGCCUGCUCUAGUCGCUCUUCCAGAUGGAGGUCUCUGGUGUAGAUUUUUAACCUUCAUUCCCUGUCAUAGUUUCCUCCUUCUUGAUCUUCAGCUCAGUGAAUAGCCUCACUCCCCACUCAAGCUGAAAGUUCUAGAAGUCAUCUUUGACUCAUGCCCCUGCCCCCCACCCCGUACACAUCUGAUCCCACCACACAUCUGAUCACUUCAACGUUCAUUCAACAAGGUUUUUCGUUUUUUUGUUUGUUUGUUUGUUUGUUUUUUCGGCUGCACCCGUGGCAUAUGGAAGUCCCUGGGCCAGGGAUUGAAUCCGAGCUGGAGCUUCCACCUAUGCCACAGCUGCAGCAAUGCCAGAAACUUAAUCCACUGCGCCACAGCAGGAGCUCCUCAACAGGUAUCUAGUGAGAGCUAAGUGCUUGCCUGGCACUCUGCUGGAUAGGCUGGUAAAGUGGCAGCCUGCUUGUAGGAGAGAACAUAGGGUCAUGGUUAAGAGUGUGGACUCUGGAAUUCCCUGAUGUCUCGGUGAGGAUAUUGGUUCCAUCCCUGUCCCUGCUCAGUGGCUUAAGGAUCCAGUGUUGCUGCAAGCGGCGGUGUAUGUCAGAGAUGAGGCUGGGGGCCGGUGAUGCAUGGCUGUAGUGUAGGCUGGCAGAUGCAGCUCCAAUACCACCCCCCCUAGUAUAGGGAACUUCCAUGUGCUGCAGGUGCUGCUGUAAAAAAAGAAAAUGUGGCCUCUGAAGAGCCAGAGGUCAUGAGCUGGCUCUGCCAUUAUUAGCUCUGAGACCUUGGGGGCAAGGUCUUUCUGUCUCCUUAAGUGAAGUGGGGGUAAUCAUAGCAUCGGGCUUCACGGUUUCAUUUUGGCACCUAAAUGAAUUAUAGUUUUUAAUCCACUUGGUGUCUGGUAUACUGUAAAUAUGCCAGUGCUUGAAAAAUAAAACAAUGGGGGAGAGAUUGGUACUGAGUCUUCACACAAACAUGUGAAGUGGCAGGUGGAGAGGGUGGUGGCCCUGUGAAGUCUGAGGAGCCCCAGUUGGGCUUUGAAGGAUGAGUGGGUGUCAAAGUCCCGAGGGCUUCAUCUCCCGCCACUGUGCUUGUUCAAGCCUUGGUGACCUCACGCCUGGGGCCUCUGAGUGGUCUUCCUUCCAGCUCCCCUCCUCUGCAGUGGAGUUUUUCUAAACCUUAAGUCUGAUGGGGUCUUUUCCUUAAUGGCAUUCUGCAGGGGCUCCCAAGUUCCCUCAGGCCUGUAGCCAAGUAUCCUCAGUAGGCUUACAAGGACCUGCAUCAUUUUCCUGCCAGCAUCGUCUCGGUCCCCACUUUGCUCACCUCCUCAACCCCUAGGAUACACCCUCACACGCUUUGCUUCAACCAUGGGGAAUUUCUUUUAGUUCUCUCUGCAGGUCACAGGCUUUCUCCCCUCUGGUCCAUGGCUCUUUUUCUCACCCCCACUGGGCAUCUCUCUGCUCUAUCCCCCCUUUCCCGGGUGAGCUUCUAUCAUCCCCGAGACCUCAGCCUCAACCUCGCUCCUGGGGUGGCCUUCCUCAGGCUCCAUGGCUCGAGUGAGGACUUUUGCUGUGAUUUUCUACAGCCCCUCCUAGUGCCCCUACUGCGGAGUUUGUCAUUUAUCAAUCGUGUCAUUUUUCUCUACUCUCUGCAAUCCCACCAAGCUCUGGGAGGGUAGAAGUUGCCUUUCCUGUUCAAGGGUACCCCCCGCCCCCUGAAUUCAGCACAGCGCUGGGCACAUGGUCAGCGCACAAUACCUCUUAUGGGUUGACUUAUGUCUUCCCCCCAAGUCCAUAUAUGUUGAUGCUCUAACCUCUGAACGUGACCUUACUUGGAGAUGGUGUUGCAGAUGUCAUUAGUUAAAAUGAGGUCAUCUUGGAAUAGGGUGAGUCCAACCGACCCAACCCGAGAAUCACCACAUGAAAAGAAAGACAUGCACAUAGAGGGAAAGUGACGUGAAGAUAAUACAGGGAAAAGAUAUUCAUCAACACGCCAAGGGAGGUGGCCCGGAGAAGACACCUCCCUCAUCGCCCUCAGAGGGUACCAAGCCUGCAGACACCUUGAUCUCAGGCUUGGCCUCAGAAUCAAGAGAUGAUACACUUCCUUUAUUUAAGCCACAUGGUGUGUGGUAUUUUGUCACGGCAGCACUGGAAAACAAAGACGACCUCUUUCUUCACAGACCGGGUUUCCAGCUCUUUCCAUGUGCUCCUAUAAGAAAGGACUUGGCCCGAUUGCCAACAUCCCCUCAGCAGCUCCACAUUCCACAAAUAGAUGGCUCCACAAGAAUGGCAGGCCCAGGUGGCUGUUAGUCAUCACAGCAAGCGGCCAAUUUUAGCUUCCAACGACCCCCUUCUCCCUGGGCAUUCCAAGAACUUCACCCAAGUGGGCAGGGGAGGUGCCCCUCUCAGCAAAGCGCCCACAGCAGGGGGGACGGGAGCGGAUGGGCAGGCAGGUGCCUGCUGUUCCCUCCCAGCCAGAAGCAGCAGCUGAGCAGGAACCGGGCUGAGCCAUGCACAGGGGCAAAGAGAAACAAGAGCUGGCGUGUGGAGCCAGAGCCAUGCUCUUUCUGGACUCCGGAGCCACACCACGGGAUGUCGGGGCAGGCUGUGCAGAAGCCAACAUGUCAGGGAGGAACUCCCCCUACCCCCCUUCUUAAAGGACGCUCCCCUUCUCUGUUUGAUUGCAGCCUCUAAUAAGCAAUUCUUUCAAAUUUCUUCUGACUUCAGAAGUUCAGAGUACGUUGAGCUAAAGAAACACCAGGAUCGUAAUUACGGUUAUUAUAGGGAGCUGUUGUAUGCCCAUCGCCACGGCAUCUGGCUGUAAUCACAUGCUUGAUGGAAUGCAAGACGAUCCACGGCUCAUAAUGGGCACUUUCUGAGCCAGGCAGCCACCAAGCGCCCACCCUCCCACUUGGAGGCCCAAGAGAACAGAUGUUUGUGGAAAGAGAGGAUGCCUGUGCCGGUCUGGAGGGCCAGUGACCUCGGCGUGGUGCUCAGGGAGAGACAUUCUAUAACCAGGUCUUGGAGCUCCUACUGUUCUGACCACCGAGCAAGGGCAAGAAGUGGGCUCUCCCCUGACUCUGGGCAGCAGGAAUGGGUUGCCACUGGAGGUGGGGGCGGGUGGUCAUCUCUGAUCACAGUGAGUCUCACAGAUGGCAAAGUGGAAAGGUGUGACUCUGGGAUGUAGACCCCAGCCUCUGUCCCCACUCCCCAGCAGCCAGGAUGCUCCCACACUCUGAAAAAGCUGAAGAAAAAUCUCUCGUUAAACAGUUCCUGAGGCAUAAUGGUCAAUGUCUGCUCAGGCUGCCAUAACAAAACACCACAGGCCAGGUGCCCGAAAUGACAGCAUUUACUUCUCAGCAUUCUAGACAUUGGGAAAUGCGAGAGCAAGCUGCUGCAGAUUGGUUUCUUGGUGAGGGCUCUCUGCCUGGCUGCACAUGACCAUUUUGCCUUCUUGAUGUCUCCUCCCAUGGUGGAGAGAAGAGGCUCUGGUGAGUCUCAUAAGGGCACGAAUCCUGCCAUGGGGCCCCACCUGCAAGACCUCAUCUAACCCUCAUCGCUUCCCAAAUGCCCUGCCUCCUAAUGCCAUCACAUUGGGGUUAGGCUUUAACAUAGGAACUUUGGGGAGACAGAAACAUUCUGUCUCUAAGGGUUAAACUUGCUUUCUCUCUCUCUUUUUUUGUGCCUAUCACGUCUUUCUUCACUCCUCAGUUUUGAGAGUCAAGAAACCCAGAGUUGGAGUUCCUGUUGUGGCUCAGUGGUUAAUGAACCCUACUAGUAACCACGAGGUUUUGUGGGUUCAAUUGCUGUCCUUUCUCAGUGGGUUAAGGAUCGGGUGUUGCUGUGGUGUAGGUCCAAGACACAGCUCUGAUCCUGCAUUGCUGUGGCUAUGGCGUAGGCCCGUGGCUAUAGCUCCAAUUAGACCCCUAGCCUGGGAACCUUCAUAUGUCGUGGUGCAGCCCU
This 5739-nucleotide long non-coding RNA is filed under the name Sus scrofa (pig). RNAcentral describes it as "lncRNA (ENSSSCG00015029722.1)". The record is from RNAcentral. Lineage: Eukaryota; Metazoa; Chordata; Mammalia; Artiodactyla; Suidae.